CAAUAGCGUAUACUAACGUUGUUGCAGUUAAAAAGCUCGUAGUUGGAUUUGUGGCGGCAGUUGCGGUCCGUACUUUUUCGGUACUGUCGACUGCUGCCAUCCUUGGGUGGAUGCUGUGUGGCAUUAGGUUGUCGUGCAGUGGAUACCCAUCGUUUACUGUGAGAAAAUUAGAGUGUUCAAAGCAGGCUUAAGCCGUUGAAUAUAUUAGCAUGGAAUAAUGAGAUAGGACCCUGGUACUAUUUUGUUGGUUUGCGUGCCAAGGUAAUGAUUAAUAGGGACAGUUGGGGGUAUUCGUAUUCCAUUGUCAGAGGUGAAAUUCUUGGAUUUCUGGAAGACGAACUACUGCGAAAGCAUUUACCAAGGAUGUUUUCAUUG
This 375-nucleotide ribosomal RNA is filed under the name uncultured eukaryote. RNAcentral describes it as "partial 18S ribosomal RNA". It matches the Rfam family "Eukaryotic small subunit ribosomal RNA", at positions 592 to 975 of the family's 1831-position model. The record is from RNAcentral.